Long non-coding RNA from Panicum virgatum (switchgrass), 333 nucleotides. RefSeq lists it as uncharacterized. The record is from RefSeq and is a predicted model, not a curated record. Lineage: Eukaryota; Viridiplantae; Streptophyta; Magnoliopsida; Poales; Poaceae. The transcript is spliced from 2 exons.
CUGGGUACUUGGGUGCUGAUAGCGUCUGUGAUUUUCUACCAGGUGGCCUUGCACUCAGACGCUGGACUGUUUGGUGGAUUCGGCGGAUCCAUCACGCCACAUAGCACUUCACCACUGACAUGCUCGCAUGACAACAAGUCACAUUCGUUCUCAGUGUAUAUUUAGUGCAGUUGUCAUUUGUUUAUUCUAUGCCAUAUAUAAAUUGAUGAAUGCCUUGUAAUCUUUAUUUAUGAAUAAUUUUAGUGGACAUGUAUAUGGGACUACAAUUGGAUUUGAUGGAGUUGUCAAAUUGUGAUUACAAAUGAUAAUGUGCAUGGACAAAUUAUAUUUUUU